This 497-nucleotide ribosomal RNA is filed under the name uncultured bacterium. Its description in RNAcentral is "partial 16S ribosomal RNA". It matches the Rfam family "Bacterial small subunit ribosomal RNA", at positions 28 to 507 of the family's 1533-position model. The record is from RNAcentral.
GAUGAGCGCUGGCGGCGUGCCUAAUACAUGCAAGUCGAGCGAACAGACGAGGAGCUUGCUCCUCUGACGUUAGCGGCGGACGGGUGAGUAACACGUGGAUAACCUACCUAUAAGACUGGGAUAACUUCGGGAAACCGGAGCUAAUACCGGAUAACAUGUUGAACCGCAUGGUUCAACAGUGAAAGACGGUCUUGCUGUCACUUAUAGAUGGAUCCGCGCCGCAUUAGCUAGUUGGUAAGGUAACGGCUUACCAAGGCAACGAUGCGUAGCCGACCUGAGAGGGUGAUCGGCCACACUGGAACUGAGACACGGUCCAGACUCCUACGGGAGGCAGCAGUAGGGAAUCUUCCGCAAUGGGCGAAAGCCUGACGGAGCAACGCCGCGUGAGUGAAGAAGGUCUUCGGAUCGUAAAACUCUGUUAUUAGGGAAGAACAAAUGUGUAAGUAACUAUGCACGUCUUGACGGUACCUAAUCAGAAAGCCACGGCUAACUACGUG